GUAGGUGGCAAGCGUUGUCCGGAAUUAUUGGGCGUAAAGCGCGCGCAGGCGGUCCUUUAAGUCUGAUGUGAAUGCCCACGGCUCAACCGUGGAGGGUCAUUGGAAACUGGGGGACUUGAGUACAGAAGAGGAAAGCGGAAUUCCACGUGUAGCGGUGAAAUGCGUAGAGAUGUGGAGGAACACCAGUGGCGAAGGCGGCUUUCUGGUCUGUAACUGACGCUGAGGCGCGAAAGCGUGGGGAGCAAACAGGGAUUAGAUACCCUGGUAGUCCACGCCGUAAACGAUGAGUGCUAAGUGUUAGGGGGGUUUCCGCCCCCUUAGUGCUGCAGCUAACGCAUUAAGCACUCCGCCUGGGGAUACGGCCGCAAGGCUG
RNAcentral lists this ribosomal RNA (373 nucleotides) under uncultured organism. RNAcentral's name for it is "partial 16S ribosomal RNA". It matches the Rfam family "Bacterial small subunit ribosomal RNA", at positions 527 to 896 of the family's 1533-position model. The record is from RNAcentral.